This 1685-nucleotide long non-coding RNA is filed under the name Nicotiana tabacum (common tobacco). RNAcentral's name for it is "long non-coding RNA (NTAB_LNC011426)". Lineage: Eukaryota; Viridiplantae; Streptophyta; Magnoliopsida; Solanales; Solanaceae. The record is from RNAcentral.
ACCAAACCACUUCAUCUCCUCAGUCUCUCUCGUCUCAGACCUAAAUCCUAGAGAACCCGCCGCACUGAAAUUCCUAAGCCAUCUCCGGCGGCGGCCUGGCCCAAUCAACCCCAAAUUCCUCCUCCACAAUCCGCACACCCCAUGGAAUAUUAAUACAACACCACAUAUCCUCAAAUCCUCACCAAAUCGGAAUAGUUUUGGAUCUAAAAAAAAGAAGAAGGAAAAGAAAAAUCUCCCAAGUCUUCGAGCUUCCAAGAACAAUUAAGGUUAAAACUUGUAUUAUUCGUUUGUUCUCAACGAAAACAUGCGAUUAAUACCAAUUUUGCCUCAAAUCGGGAAACGCCAGAGUUCUGUUCAAGCCAGUCCAUCUGCCUUUUAGGUAUCCCUAUUCAUUUUUUAUUUUCAUCCUUUGUUUAUUUCCCAUCUUCGUCCACUUCUUAUUCCUUCCCUUUUCUUUCUUAUUUUUCUGAUUUAAAUCAUUUUGGUUCGCAUGUUAGGAUCUAGUUAUGUUAGUUUACAGUUUUAGCUUAAUAAUAUGUUCAUUAUUGUUAGUUCAUUUGAUUUCGUUUUGGUUUUGAUCAAAUUCUCUUUUGGUUUUGUUUCGUUGGAAUUCUGAUAUUAGGAAUUUACAACUCCAUUGGCCUGUUCUCUUGUGGGAUUUUAGUUUUAAACUGGAAUUGGGGCUUCGUAGGUCUGAAGCCCAAAGAGGGGGAAGGUCAUUUCUGGUUAAAAAGCUCGGUCAGUUGGUUUGUUUUUUUUGGUUUAAUUUGGCCCAUUCUUGAUAUUUUGAGGGUAAAUAGCAGCUGUUUAAGUUGUAGUUUAGAGAUAUAAGAUAAGGGAAUUCUUGCCUAACUAAUUAGGAAACUUCCAGGAAAGUGGGGAAGGGGUUGACCUAACAAACAGGUUGAAACUUAGGGUCCAAAAUGAAAAAUAAAAAUUGGGUAAAGGGGUAAAUGGUGAAAUACAAAAUCAUAUUUUGUUGCCAUAGGAGCUGGUUAUAUAAGGCUCAUUUUCUUUAAUUUAGGGGGGGGGGGGGUGGGGUGAUUAGAAGACUAAAAUCAGAAAACGGCUGAAAGAGUUAUUCGAAAAAAUGCCUUGAAAUUUCUGUAUCUUUUGGGGUGGAAAUUGGUUCUGAAUCUGCUCCUUAGUCAUAAGUGUUAAUUGGAAUCCAAAAGGCUUCAAGGAACUCUUGUUUAUCUCGGUUAAAAUGGUCUAAAUAGCUGAACUUUGUUGUGUUUUGGAGCUGUUGAUUCAUCUACUAUGUUGCUACUGUUGAAUCCUCAUUUUCUUUGGUUUCUUUUGAUAUUCAGGUACCCCUUUUGGACCUUAUUGAAUAUUGCAGCUCAAAAUUGAAGCAUGUAAUCAAAUGUGGAGUUUAAGCAUAAUAUUAGUUGAUUUUGUUUAGAAUCUAGCUUGUUUUCUACAUUACAUUGUUGGUUUUUACUGUAUGAUCCUUUAUACUUUGCCUAUGCUGUUGACAGUAUCGUUUAGGAAUUGGGUUUAGAGUUUAGUUUUGGUCACUUUGACUUUAAUGGGUUUAGACUCUCUUUGUCAUGUACUUAGUUUGGACUAUUGUAACAUGGUUUAUUGUAGAUGAGUAGCAUCUUCUUUUGUGAGGUCUGAUUGAAUUGUUUCAAACUAGUAAUGAUAACCAGUCUAUAAUGAGUUUUUUUCUUAUAGUCUUG